Neofelis nebulosa (Clouded leopard) is the source of this 4117-nucleotide long non-coding RNA. RefSeq lists it as uncharacterized. The transcript is spliced from 5 exons. The record is from RefSeq and is a predicted model, not a curated record. NCBI's taxonomy places the organism in Eukaryota, Metazoa, Chordata, Mammalia, Carnivora, Felidae.
CACCAUUUUGCGUCCCCACCAGCGGUGCGCGAGCGUUCGUUUCUCCACGGCCUCGCCAGCACUUGUCUGUCCCUGUGACUUCAGCGAUGCUAGUGGGUGUGAAGUGCAAUCUCGUAUCUUUUUUUUUAAUUUAAGUUUAUUCACUUAUUUUGAGACACAGAGAGAGAGGCAAGUGGAGAGGGAAAUAGAGACAAUCCCAAGCAGGCUCCUCAGUGUCAGCAAAGAGCCCAACAUGGGGCUCGAACCCACAUACCGUGAGAUCAUGACCUGAGCUGAAAGCAAGAGUCAGAUGGCCAACCGACUGAGCCACCCAGGCGCCCCUCGUUGUAUCUUUGAUUAGCCUUUCUCUGAUGACAUUGAGCCUCUUGUCAUGUGUUUUAUGUUCAUUUGAGGAUCUUCCUUGGAGGAUUGUCUAUUUGGGUCCUUCGUCCAUUCUUUUAUCGGGUUGGUUUUCUUGUUCCUGAGUUACAAGAGUUCUCUAUAUAUUAUUGGUAUCGAUUACUUAUCAGAUAUCUGAUUUGUGACUAUAUCCUCCCAUUCUAUGGGUUGUUUUUCGUGUUUUGAUAGUGUCCUUUCCAUGCAUGAAGUUUUUAAAGUUUUUUUAAUGUUUUAUUUUUGAGAGUCAUAGCACGAGCAGGGGAGAGGUAGAGAGAGAGGGGGGACACAGAAUUCUAAGCAGGCUCCAGGCUCUGAGCUGUCAGCACAGAGUUCGACCUGGGGCUCGAACCCAUGGACCGUGAUAUCGUGACCUGAGCCGUAGUCGGAUGCUCAACCAACUGAGCCACCCAGGUGCCCCUGAAGGUUUUUAAUCUUAAUGAAAUCCAGCUUAUGCCAGUGUGGCUUUAGUUGGCAUGUCACUCAUCGUGAGUGAGCUUGAACAUUGCAGUCUUCCUUUAUGGAAAUUUACAACGUGGCUAAACUAGCAGGAUGCACAAAGCCAUACAUUCUCAAAUGUGUGUGUUAGGUUUAUGGUCCACCCUUUGCAAAGUGGCACAGUUAGGCAUAUGUGACAAUUAGAAAACUGGACCGUAGCAGGAAGGCACAAACUCCUGUUCCACCGAUUCUUUAGUUUUAGGACUCCUUCAGAGAGGAGUUGCUCUUGGUCAUGCUGGGAGGCAAUACCCGGCUCAUGGAGGUUUUCUCACGGCUCUUCCUCCCGAAACUGCUUCUCUUGUCAUUCCCAUCUGGGUAAGUAGCACCUUCAUCCAAGCCAGAAAGCCAGCGGCCCAGAGUCUUACUGACUUGGCUUGCACAGCUUUCCCAGCAUGCUGCCCUCUGUCCUUCCCACCGCUGAUGCCCACAGGCGGGCCUGGACUCCAGCAAUGCCUCCUCUUUAGGCUCCCGGCCUCCAGGCUUCCCCUCCAGCUUUCAGGGGUCCUCCAGAGGGAUUUUUAAAUUUUCCUUUGAAAUUUUGUGUCCCACGGUAUAGUGGGUUGACUAGUGUCCCCCGCCCCAAACUUCAUGUCCAUUCAAAACCUCAGAAUGUAACCUUAUUUGGAAUAAGGGACUUUGCAGAUGUAGUUAAGGGUCUCCAGACAAAAUUAUCAUGCAUUUAGGGUAGACCCGAAAUCCAGUGACCGGUGUCAUCCUAAGUAGAAGAGACAGACGCUGGGAGAAGGCCAUGAGAAGAUGAUGGCAGAGAUUGGGGGGGUGGUCACAAGCUAAGGAGUGCUAGCAGCCGCCAAAAGCUGGGAAAGGCAGAGAAGCCGCCUCUGGAGGAGCAAAGCCCCGCAACACCUUGAUUUAGGACUUGUGGCUUCUAGACUGGGCAAGAAUGGAUCCAUGCUGCCGUAGGCCUCCCAGUGUGUGGCAGUGUGUUAUGGCGGCUUCAGGACACUGAUACAUAUCUGUCAGCCACUGUCACUGGAGGACACAUGAGAAAACACAGAUAAACAGAGAAAUGAGCACAGGCAGUUCCAUCCUCCGGAGACGGAUACUGUUUAACACUUCAGCGUCUAGCUUGUUAGAGUAAUAGUCCUUAAAUGCAACCUUCUAAAAUGCUUAAGGGGCACCUGGGUGGCUCAGUCAGUUGAGUGUCCAACCCUCAGUUUCAGCUCAGGUCAUGAUCUCACGAUUCAAGAGAUCGAGCCCCACGUCGGGCUCUGCACAGACAGCACCUAACCUGAUUGGGAGUCUCUCUUUCCCCCUCUCUUUGCCCUUCCCCUCCCUGUGCACUUUUUUCUCUCUCUCUCUCAAAAUAAGUAAGUAAACAUGGGGAAAAAAUAAAAUAAAUAAAAUGCUUCCAACUUUCCCAAUGCUUUCAGGAUAAAACCUGAAACUGCUUGCUGGAGCCUCCCAGACCAACCUUUUUUGUAGCUGCUUUUCCAUCCACUGUAAGAAUCAGCUUGCACCCUGCCUCUGCUUGUUCUCCAGGCGGAUGGGCCUGGCCUGUGCCUUCAGCCUCCUGUUUCGUGGCCUUGUCGCGGCGCCGUGGAUUUACCCUUUCCUCUGGAGCUGAGGCCGCUGGGCCAGCGGAGCCUGAGAGGCGGAAACAAUGUUGGUGGCCGCUGGGACAGGGGACUGGGAGAAGUAAGACACUAGAAAGGAACCUGGUGAGGAAAAGCCACAGGGACCGUCCUGGUCUACAGCGUUUGGGAGCAUUGCCUCCUUGGCCGCACACCACACAGCAGCCUUCGUACAGCACGUCCUGGCCCGGAUUCAAGGAAACUUUGUCUUAAACCAGCUAUGACUCACGGCAGUCUGUGAAGUCUACCUUUGUAAACAAAGAUAAAGCAACUACGUUUUCUCCCUACCUCAUCCCUCCAGACUUUGGAAACUCCCAAAUCUGUUCUCCUUGCAACAGGACACUAUUGGAAACACUGGUCAUAUUACCAAGGCUUUGGCUAGAAUAUCCUAUCUGAGAACGACGCGCAUAGACUAAGAUAUGACCAGACAGCGCUAAGGAACAAAAAGUGACUGUGUGGAACCAACCCUUGGAAAAAUCAGCCUGAUAACCUUGCUGGGGUUCCCAACAGCCUUAUCAUGUGAGUCAGGAAGAUUGCCUCCUGACAGGCCCAGGAACCUCACGAAGAGGGACUGCCCCCCUAAAUUUAUAGGUAUUCUAGGUAAGAUCGGACAGGGAGGUGUCGGCUUGGCUUCUUAGCCUGGAGAGGCUUUUCAGAGUUCCAUCUGAGAUUCCUUAUGAAAAGUUCCAGGAAAGCAGACUUGAAAGAGCCUGGAUGGUCAGUCCCUAUUCUUGCUGCACUCACGCAAACAAGAGAGCCGAGUUUAUUGCGACUAGACUGAAUUUGCAAACAAAAUAGUCUUGCUACGGUUGUCCUUGCCACAGAUGGGGCGAUUACAGAGAGAACAGGUCUGCUUCAGUAACACACCUUCACAGGUAUAUUCUAGCACCGCGGAUUAUCUUUGGUGUUUGUCUUCACCUAGGCUAGAUCCUGAAUUCUAGUUUCUUCCAGUAGUCGGCUACAACUCCAAACUUCCAGCAUUUCUCCCGCCCUCUGACCUGGGAUCCUUGAGACCUAAAACCGCCCAUCCCACAACCGGGCAGGCCCAAGUGGGGCGACUCGAUCCAAGCUUCGGAGGGACCACCACAGCAGCUCGCGGGGGGACAGUCUUUGUGCCUGUUGCCGGUGGGCCCCUCAGGACGGUCACCAGAGACGUUCACGCCACAGACCAGGCACGUCUGCCAGGUUGCCGCUGCCCGCCCUCCCCUCGCCCGAGGACAUUUUGAGCCCUAGAUGUGCCCUAGUUAUCCCCUCCACGUGGCGGCACUCGGAGCUCAGGAACGGCGUUGUCGUCGGCCCCAGUCUUUAACCUCUGUUGCGUCAUGUGACGCCGUCACAAGACGUAGGGACGAAGACCGGUUGGAUGAGAUAUGGAGCAACCUGCCGGCUCCGGACAGGUUCAAACCCACUGACGCCAGGUGCAGGCCGCUUGCAGGCCACCAGCUUGAGCGAGGGAAGCCUGAGUGAGGAAGGAGGGCCCACAGUGACCCCCUGACUGAAGACAGACCGGCGCAUUAGGCGAUCCACCUCGAAAUAUCCGUAAGCCCUAGCUGACCAGUGGAUUACUUACACCCGGAUCCAGGUGCCAAAAAAGGAAAAUUCCGCACGUUCCUGUCCCUCCUCACCUUCCCCCUUUCCUGCAGCCCCCCCCC